AGGUUUAUAGCUCAGCUGGUAGAGCGCCUGCCUUACAAGCAGGAUGUCAUCGGUUCGAAUCCGGUUAGACCUA
RNAcentral lists this transfer RNA (73 nucleotides) under Autumnella corcontica. RNAcentral's name for it is "Koliella corcontica tRNA-Val". It matches the Rfam family "tRNA". Rfam says of the family: Transfer RNA (tRNA) molecules are approximately 80 nucleotides in length. Their secondary structure includes four short double-helical elements and three loops (D, anti-codon, and T loops). Further hydrogen bonds mediate the characteristic L-shaped molecular structure. tRNAs have two regions of fundamental functional importance: the anti-codon, which is responsible for specific mRNA codon recognition, and the 3' end, to which the tRNAs corresponding amino acid is attached (by aminoacyl-tRNA synthetases). tRNAs cope with the degeneracy of the genetic code in two manners: having more than one tRNA (with a specific anti-codon) for a particular amino acid; and 'wobble' base-pairing, i.e. permitting non-standard base-pairing at the 3rd anti-codon position. The record is from RNAcentral. Lineage: Eukaryota; Viridiplantae; Chlorophyta; Trebouxiophyceae.